UCAAGAAAGAUACUGAGUGGAGAUGGCGUCGGAGAUAUGACUUGAACAACGACGAUAAGGAGAAUGCAUCGGAGAUAUGACUUGAACAACGACGAUGAGGAGAAUGAAGGGCAAACGAAAUGAUGAACGAUGAUAUUUUGUAAAUGAUGAGGCAUGUGUUUUGUUUUAACGUACCUAAUCGGUUUUUUGGCCGCCUACGUUUUCAUGUUCUUAUUAUUUGUUUAGUGAUCCUUUGGUAUAGAAGAGGAGAGGGACGUUAUUAUUACUAAUUAUUACAGCUUUAUCUCUUUCUCUCUUAUGACAUAUUGUUGUGCCUGUCAAUAACAACAGAUUGAUGAUGAUAAUCCAUUACCUGUACAUCAGUUAUUUAAUUCACUUUUUCAUUUCCCAGUGGCAAAAAAUGAAAAUUUCUAAGAAUCUUGAUGUCAAAUAGAUGAUGGAUCAUGCUGAACUGCAUGCAAUAUUCUGCCCCACAUUGUCUUCAUCUCCCUCUUUGCUUUGCUCUUUUUUCCCCCAUGAAACUAAUAAGUACUAGGUUUUAUCAUGUGUUCAUCUUCUUCAUAUCCUACCUUCCUUUUUUCCAACAAUUUUUGCAUCUAAAAUGGCUUUGUCUAUUCUUAAAGGAUUGCUCCAAGAUUAUGUUCAAUCUCUGAUUGAAGAGGUGACAACUAAUAUAUUAGUUUCUUUUUCAUUCAACUACUUACUUGUGUACACAAUUCUUUCAUCUUCAAGUUAUUAUUAAUUUAACAUUGUCGUAGUAUGUCUUGUAGAGGAUUGUUAAUGAGAGGUUCUCCCAGAUUCUAACAAAAUUUGAAGAGCCGGAUUGCGUUCAGCUGAUCAAUAUUUAUCUCAGAGAUGUUGAAUCAAUCUUAUCAGAACUUAGCAUCACUGUUGAUUCUUUGGACCUCGAUUUCUCUAAGUUGAGUUUGUUGGCCGAUAAAAUAGAGAAGAAAAGCACUCGCAUUGGUGCACAGCACAUGAAGCUAGCAGCUACCCGUCUCAUUGAAGCUUGUGAUAAGGAGGACCAGAAAAUUGUCUCCCAAGACUUUAAUUGGAUGAAGCAUGAAUUCACCAUUACUCAGAACAAAUUUCAGCCCGUUAUUCAGAUGGAACAGAGAAUUUUGAGAGUGAUGAGCAAGCCAAAGUAUACAUAGAAAGCUUAUGUGUUUUUUGUACGAUACGUUGAAGAUGGGGUCGUAUUAUUAUUAAUAUAUAUAUCAUCUCCUAAA
Long non-coding RNA from Cucumis sativus (cucumber), 1229 nucleotides. RefSeq lists it as uncharacterized. The transcript is spliced from 5 exons. NCBI's taxonomy places the organism in Eukaryota, Viridiplantae, Streptophyta, Magnoliopsida, Cucurbitales, Cucurbitaceae. The record is from RefSeq and is a predicted model, not a curated record.